Molecule: ribosomal RNA, 385 nt
Filed under: uncultured bacterium
Lineage: Bacteria
Description: bacterial SSU rRNA
Rfam family: Bacterial small subunit ribosomal RNA
Source: RNAcentral
AUUGAACGCUGGCGGCAUGCCUAACACAUGCAAGUCGAACGGCAGCACGUUUUAGUUUACUAGAAUGGUGGCGAGUGGCGGACGGGUGAGUAACGCGUAGGAAUAUACCUUAAAGAGGGGGAUAACUUGGGGAAACUCAAGCUAAUACCGCAUAAUCUCUGAGGAGAGAAGCUGGGGACCUUUGGGCCUGGCGCUUUAAGAAUAGCCUGCGUACGAUUAGCUAGUUGGUGGGGUAAGGGCCUACCAAGGCGACGAUCGUUAGCUGGUCUGAGAGGAUGGCCAGCCACACUGGAACUGAGACACGGUCCAGACUCCUACGGGAGGCAGCAGUGGGGAAUAUUGGACAAUGGGGGCAACCCUGAUCCAGCAAUGCCGCGUGUGUGAA